Molecule: long non-coding RNA, 358 nt
Filed under: Olea europaea (common olive)
Lineage: Eukaryota; Viridiplantae; Streptophyta; Magnoliopsida; Lamiales; Oleaceae
Description: long non-coding RNA (OEUR_LNC008430)
Source: RNAcentral
CGGGAUAAAAUUCAAGAGGGGAGCAUUUCAACAGAACAUGUGACAGCAAAUCUCAAGUGACAGAUAUCCUUACCAAGAGCUUAGCCUCUCAAAACUUCUAUUGAUGUAUGUUCAAGACGAGAGUAAUGGACAUCUACUGUCCAUUUUACGGGGGCUAUUGAGGAAUGAAGGUGAAGCUGUUCAGCUGGACAAAAGAGAAGCUGAGCUUGAUAGAAAACAAGUGGAAUUAGAGAAGAGUACACAUCAAUAUACAUAUAGUCAGCUUCCCUUGACAGAACAGCAAGUUAAGAAUUCUCUAGAAUAGAGGCAACUUGGUAUUCUAGAAGAAGGAUGGAAGAAAUAUUGGUUGCAAAGUUGG